This 30-nucleotide non-coding RNA is filed under the name Rattus norvegicus (Norway rat). The record is from RNAcentral. Lineage: Eukaryota; Metazoa; Chordata; Mammalia; Rodentia; Muridae.
UACACAUGUUGCCUCUAGUGAGCCUUCACA